AAAAGAGUAGUUUAAAAAAAAUUUAUGGUUUCGGCCCUUAUGCUUUUGGUUAAAAUCCAAACUCUUUUU
RNAcentral lists this transfer RNA (69 nucleotides) under Anneissia intermedia. RNAcentral describes it as "tRNA-Arg". It matches the Rfam family "tRNA". Rfam says of the family: Transfer RNA (tRNA) molecules are approximately 80 nucleotides in length. The record is from RNAcentral. Lineage: Eukaryota; Metazoa; Echinodermata; Crinoidea; Comatulida; Comatulidae.